GACGAACGCUGGCGGCGUGUUUAACACAUGCAAGUCGAACGGAAAGGCCCUGCUUUUGUGGGGUGCUCGAGUGGCGAACGGGUGAGUAACACGUGAGUAACCUGCCCUUGACUUUGGGAUAACUUCAGGAAACUGGGGCUAAUACCGGAUAGGAGCUCCUGCUGCAUGGUGGGGGUUGGAAAGUUUCGGCGGUUGGGGAUGGACUCGCGGCUUAUCAGCUUGUUGGUGGGGUAGUGGCUUACCAAGGCUUUGACGGGUAGCCGGCCUGAGAGGGUGACCGGCCACAUUGGGACUGAGAUACGGCCCAGACUCCUACGGGAGGCAGCAGUGGGGAAUAUUGCACAAUGGGCGGAAGCCUGAUGCAGCAACGCCGCGUGCGGGAUGACGGCCUUCGGGUUGUAAACCGCUUUCGCCUGUGACGAAGCGUGAGUGACGGUAAUGGUAAAGAAGCACCGGCUAACUACGUG
Molecule: ribosomal RNA, 467 nt
Filed under: uncultured bacterium
Lineage: Bacteria
Description: partial 16S ribosomal RNA
Rfam family: Bacterial small subunit ribosomal RNA
Source: RNAcentral